RNAcentral lists this unclassified non-coding RNA (557 nucleotides) under Hevea brasiliensis (rubber tree). The record is from RNAcentral. Lineage: Eukaryota; Viridiplantae; Streptophyta; Magnoliopsida; Malpighiales; Euphorbiaceae.
UGUUGAUCCGGGUGAAGGGAAGAUUGAUAACAUAAUCACACAGUCUGCUGUUAUUCACAUGCUAGCAGAAUGUGCUGGGCUUCAAUGGUUUGAAAGCUGGGGAACAAAGAAACUUUCAGAAAUUGGUCUUCCCUCCAUGUCUCUUAAUCAAAUUGUCAAGGUUUGUGGCCUUUAUCAGUUAAUGUGUUCCUCUUCUUUCUUCGAAUUUGAGGUGAUUUAUACACGUGGUUAUCUGUAAUGCUUUGAUCAAUUUGUUAAUUUUUCAACAAUACAUUUAAACUGAAUGCAUCAUUCUCUGUUCUGUAUCUGCAUGGUAAGGAUGAGAGAUUCAUGUUGGCUGCAGGGCCAACCAAAUCUUUUACCUGAACAUUUAAAUUAGCAGAACUUGCCACCAUGGUGUAUUCAAAAUCCUGGGUCAAGUUCUCUUGAUGUUGAUGGACACUUUGCAGCCUCAUAUUGUUUUUAUGCCUCUAUAUCUUUCCUUAGUGUGUCCUUCUAAUGAUUAAAAGGUUAAUGAAGUUAUUCAAAUUGUCAUUUUGUUUGUUUUAGGUGCAUGA